UCUUGCAAUCAUCUAAAAGAACUAGAUAAAACCUUGUUUACUACAUUAAUUAUAUCACUUUCCUUUUUCUGAUUUAAAGGAAACAUAGGGAGAAUUCGAGGUAGGUAAAAGAACAGAUACUGAUAGAACAAAAGGCUUGACAAGUUACUGAUGCUAAUCUUAUUUUCGAUAUCCAAUCCCCAUCAUCCCGGUGAGUCUUCGCCAUCUCAUCCAUGUUCCCAAUAUGAAUUGCUGAAAAAGUUGCAUGAAAUCAAACAUAAGGUUAAGUUCGCUUAGAAAUACACCAAGAACUUGAACAGUUCAGGAAGAUGGCCAAAACAUACCCAGCAGCCCUCCUUAAGCAUCUCACAAUUUCAGAGCUACAGCAUCUGG
This 372-nucleotide long non-coding RNA is filed under the name Phoenix dactylifera (date palm). RNAcentral's name for it is "long non-coding RNA (PDAC_LNC006048)". Lineage: Eukaryota; Viridiplantae; Streptophyta; Magnoliopsida; Arecales; Arecaceae. The record is from RNAcentral.